GCGGGGGCGGCCUCUUACACAUGCAAGUCGACGAUGAUGCCCAGCUUGCUGGGCGGAUUAGUGGCGAACGGGUGAGUAAUACGUGAGUAACCUGCCCUUGACUCUGGGAUAAGCCUGGGAAACUGGGUCUAAUACUGGAUACUACCUCUUGCCGCAUGGUGGGUGGUGGAAAGGGUUUUACUGGUUUUGGAUGGGCUCACGGCCUAUCAGCUUGUUGGUGGGGUAAUGGCUCACCAAGGCGACGACGGGUAGCCGGCCUGAGAGGGUGACCGGCCACACUGGGACUGAGACACGGCCCAGACUCCUACGGGAGGCAGCAGUGGGGAAUAUUGCACAAUGGGCGGAAGCCUGAUGCAGCGACGCCGCGUGAGGGAUGACGGCCUUCGGGUUGUAAACCUCUUUCAGUAGGGAAGAAGCGAGAGUGACGGUACCUGCAGAAGAAGCGCCGGCUAACUACGUGCCAGCAGCCGCGGUAAUACGUAGGGCGCAAGCGUUGUCCGGAAUUAUUGGGCGUAAAGAGCUCGUAGGCGGUUUGUCGCGUCUGCUGUGAAAGCCCGGGGCUCAACCCCGGGUCUGCAGUGGGUACGGGCAGACUAGAGUGCAGUAGGGGAGACUGGAAUUCCUGGUGUAGCGGUGAAAUGCGCAGAUAUCAGGAGGAACACCGAUGGCGAAGGCAGGUCUCUGGGCUGUUACUGACGCUGAGGAGCGAAAGCAUGGGGAGCGAACAGGAUUAGAUACCCUGGUAGUCCAUGCCGUAAACGUUGGGCACUAGGUGUGGGGGACAUUCCACGUUUUCCGCGCCGUAGCUAACGCAUUAAGUGCCCCGCCUGGGGAGUACGGCCGCAAGGCUAAAACUCAAAGGAAUUGACGGGGGCCCGCACAAGCGGCGGAGCAUGCGGAUUAAUUCGAUGCAACGCGAAGAACCUUACCAAGGCUUGACAUUCACCGGACCGCCCCAGAGAUGGGGUUUCCCUUCGGGGCUGGUGGACAGGUGGUGCAUGGUUGUCGUCAGCUCGUGUCGUGAGAUGUUGGGUUAAGUCCCGCAACGAGCGCAACCCUCGUUCUAUGUUGCCAGCACGUGAUGGUGGGGACUCAUAGGAGACUGCCGGGGUCAACUCGGAGGAAGGUGGGGAUGACGUCAAAUCAUCAUGCCCCUUAUGUCUUGGGCUUCACGCAUGCUACAAUGGCCGGUACAAAGGGUUGCGAUACUGUGAGGUGGAGCUAAUCCCAAAAAGCCGGUCUCAGUUCGGAUUGAGGUCUGCAACUCGACCUCAUGAAGUCGGAGUCGCUAGUAAUCGCAGAUCAGCAACGCUGCGGUGAAUACGUUCCCGGGCCUUGUACACACCGCCCGUCAAGUCACGAAAGUUGGUAACACCCGAAGCCGGUGGCCUAACCCCUUGUGGGAGGGAGCCGUCGAAGGUGGUCGGGG
This 1429-nucleotide ribosomal RNA is filed under the name bacterium. Its description in RNAcentral is "bacterial SSU rRNA". It matches the Rfam family "Bacterial small subunit ribosomal RNA". The record is from RNAcentral.